UAGAGUUUGAUCAUGGCUCAGAUUGAACGCUGGCGGCAGGCCUAACACAUGCAAGUCGAGCGGUAGAGAGAAGCUUGCUUCUCUUGAGAGCGGCGGACGGGUGAGUAAUGCCUAGGAAUCUGCCUGGUAGUGGGGGAUAACGUUCGGAAACGGACGCUAAUACCGCAUACGUCCUACGGGAGAAAGCAGGGGACCUUCGGGCCUUGCGCUAUCAGAUGAGCCUAGGUCGGAUUAGCUAGUUGGUGGGGUAAUGGCUCACCAAGGCGACGAUCCGUAACUGGUCUGAGAGGAUGAUCAGUCACACUGGAACUGAGACACGGUCCAGACUCCUACGGGAGGCAGCAGUGGGGAAUAUUGGACAAUGGGCGAAAGCCUGAUCCAGCCAUGCCGCGUGUGUGAAGAAGGUCUUCGGAUUGUAAAGCACUUUAAGUUGGGAGGAAGGGCUGUAGAUUAAUACUCUGCAAUUUUGACGUUACCGACAGAAUAAGCACCGGCUAACUCUGUGCCAGCAGCCGCGGUAAUACAGAGGGUGCAAGCGUUAAUCGGAAUUACUGGGCGUAAAGCGCGCGUAGGUGGUUUGUUAAGUUGGAUGUGAAAUCCCCGGGCUCAACCUGGGAACUGCAUUCAAAACUGACUGACUAGAGUAUGGUAGAGGGUGGUGGAAUUUCCUGUGUAGCGGUGAAAUGCGUAGAUAUAGGAAGGAACACCAGUGGCGAAGGCGACCACCUGGACUAAUACUA
RNAcentral lists this ribosomal RNA (740 nucleotides) under uncultured bacterium. RNAcentral describes it as "bacterial SSU rRNA". It matches the Rfam family "Bacterial small subunit ribosomal RNA", at positions 1 to 742 of the family's 1533-position model. The record is from RNAcentral.